Molecule: ribosomal RNA, 522 nt
Filed under: uncultured bacterium
Lineage: Bacteria
Description: bacterial SSU rRNA
Rfam family: Archaeal small subunit ribosomal RNA
Source: RNAcentral
AACCUCCGCAAUGUGAGAAAUCGCGACGGGGGGAUCCCAAGUGCCAUUCUUAACGGGAUGGCUUUUCAUUAGUGUAAAGAGCUUUUGGAAUAAGGGCUGGGCAAGACCGGUGCCAGCCGCCGCGGUAACACCGGCAGCUCUAGUGGUAGCAGUUUUUAUUGGGCCUAAAGCGUCCGUAGCCGGUUUAAUAAGUCUCUGGUGAAAUCCUGUAGCUUAACUGUGGGAAUUGCUGGAGAUACUAUUAAACUUGAGACCGGGAGAGGUUAGAGGUACUCCCAGGGUAGAGGUGAAAUUCUGUAAUCCUGGGAGGACCGCCUGUUGCGAAGGCGUCUAACUGGAACGGUUCUGACGGUGAGGGACGAAAGUUAGGGGCGCGAAACCGGAUUAGAUACCCGGGUAGUCCUAACUGUAAACGAUGCGGACUUGGUGUUGGGGUGGCUUUGAGCUGCUUCAGUGCCGAAGGGAAGCUGUUAAGUCCGCCGCCUGGGAAGUACGGUCGCAAGACUGAAACUUAAAGGAAUU